Molecule: non-coding RNA, 69 nt
Submitted as: unclassified sequences
Source: Rfam
GAAGUGCGAACCAAGCCGCGGUGCAAACCGCGUGAGACUUGGAGCGGACGAGCGCAAGCACGUCCUACA